CUAGCUGGUCUGAGAGGAUGACCAGCCACACUGGAACUGAGACACGGUCCAGACUCCUACGGGAGGCAGCAGUGGGGAAUAUUGCACAAUGGGCGCAAGCCUGAUGCAGCCAUGCCGCGUGUAUGAAGAAGGCCUUCGGGUUGUAAAGUACUUUCAGCGGGGAGGAAGGGAGUAAAGUUAAUACCUUUGCUCAUUGACGUUACCCGCAGAAGAAGCACCGGCUAACUCCGUGCCAGCAGCCGCGGUAAUACGGAGGGUGCAAGCGUUAAUCGGAAUUACUGGGCGUAAAGCGCACGCAGGCGGUUUGUUAAGUCAGAUGUGAAAUCCCCGGGCUCAACCUGGGAACUGCAUCUGAUACUGGCAAG
This 365-nucleotide ribosomal RNA is filed under the name Escherichia coli. RNAcentral's name for it is "bacterial SSU rRNA". It matches the Rfam family "Bacterial small subunit ribosomal RNA", at positions 283 to 640 of the family's 1533-position model. RNAcentral also lists the same sequence under 1 other name. Lineage: Bacteria; Pseudomonadati; Pseudomonadota; Gammaproteobacteria; Enterobacterales; Enterobacteriaceae. The record is from RNAcentral.